This 581-nucleotide long non-coding RNA is filed under the name Pongo abelii (Sumatran orangutan). Its description in RNAcentral is "lincRNA". The stretch from base 9 to 143 matches the Rfam family "JPX transcript, XIST activator conserved region 1". The record is from RNAcentral. Lineage: Eukaryota; Metazoa; Chordata; Mammalia; Primates; Hominidae.
CUAUGCCCUAGAGCUAGUGGAAGACCUAAGAUGGCGGCGUUUGCGCGGGGUGUAACCACUGCGUCCUUACGGGGGUUGCAAGGCGUCCGAAGUAUGAGUCCACUAACAAAAGUCCAGAAACUCGCCAGUUAAUAGUAUUGUGUCUCUUCAAAAUAUCGGAAAAUAAUUUCUUUCUCGCUGAUCGCCUAACUUCUACUGACGAGGCUAGGAAGUUGCAGAAGAUGGAGUUCACUCUUGUUGCCCAGGCUGGAAUGCAAUGGCAUGACCUUGGCUCACUGCAACCUCUGCCUCCCCAGUUCAAGUGGUUCUCCUGCCUCAGCCUCCCGAGUAGCUGGGAUUAGAGGUACUGGCUCCUGUAUCACCCAGCUCUGGAGUUGAAAGAGCUCUUCAUUCCUGAGUCUCCUGUACCACUGAGAAUAGGCUGGAGUGCAGUGGCGCAAUCUUGGCUCACUGCAACCUCCACCUCCCGGGUUCAAGCGAUUCUCCUGCCUCAGCCUCCUGAAUAGCUGAGAUUACAAGCAUGCACCACCACGCCCGUCUAAUUUUGUAUUUUCACUAGAGACGGAGUUUCUCCAUGUUGG